Long non-coding RNA from Tupaia belangeri chinensis (Chinese tree shrew), 237 nucleotides. RefSeq lists it as uncharacterized. NCBI's taxonomy places the organism in Eukaryota, Metazoa, Chordata, Mammalia, Scandentia, Tupaiidae. The record is from RefSeq and is a predicted model, not a curated record. The transcript has 3 exons.
GCUGUACAAUGGAAAAGGGAGAGAGAGACACCUACAAUGUUACCUUGGAACUCUAGGAUCAAAUCAGGAUCACCAGUAUCAGUGUUUUAUAGGUAAUGACCAAAUAGACAAAACCUUCUCUCCAGGACUAGACUAAGGUAGAGAGAAGAAACAUAUGGACAUCAACAACAACAACAAAACCCAUGGGAGAAGCAACAUCUGCUUUUACUAUAGUGUGAAUACACUCACCAGUGAGAG